RNAcentral lists this transfer RNA (73 nucleotides) under Omnitrophica WOR_2 bacterium RIFCSPLOWO2_12_FULL_51_8. RNAcentral's name for it is "tRNA-Thr". It matches the Rfam family "tRNA". Rfam says of the family: Transfer RNA (tRNA) molecules are approximately 80 nucleotides in length. Their secondary structure includes four short double-helical elements and three loops (D, anti-codon, and T loops). The record is from RNAcentral. Lineage: Bacteria; Pseudomonadati; Candidatus Omnitrophota.
GCCCACGUAGCUCAGUCGGCAGAGCGCAUGCAUGGUAAGCCUGUGGUCACCGGUUCGAUUCCGGUCGUGGGCU